AGAACUGCAGAUAGUACAGCUUCCACAGGAGCAAGGGAUGUCUGAGCACAAGUGGCUGAGUUCCGAGUGACUUUAUGAAGCACUUUCUACCUUCCUCUCCGGCAUGAAAACAGGGAUUCUGCACCUGCAUCAUGGACAGUCUGGCAAAAGCCUCUGCUCUGCCUCCGGGGACAAGAAACUAGAGCAAAUAACCGUUUUGAAAUUAGAUCCUGGCAAAAUUACCAACAAUCAAUGAUGGAAACUGAAGGGAGAUUGAUUUAAAUCUUCAAUGACAGUUGUACAGAAGUUGAAGAAACACGUCAUCUUUCCAAAGAAGAGUGAGUAGCUUGGUUGGUGGUACCCUAAAAUUAGGGCAUGAUUAAGGUACGUCAUUUCUUUUAGUUCAAUCAAAGUGCUUUGCUGUUUCCAUUUCAGAGAAUUUCUUAUUCGUUUUUUCAAUGUCUCUCUCUUCCUCUUCUUCCUCUCAUUAGUAGAUGUCUUUUAUAAUUGAUGUCAUUUACUGUCCUUUAAUCAAAUGUAUGCCACAUCACUUACGCGAACCAGCAGACCGGGCACCAAAAUACACAUUAGAGGAGACUGGCUUCCAUGAGACGCUUCGACUGUCUCAUCGGGGCACUUGUAAUAAGCAUCUUGGUGCCACUGAAUGCAAUGCUGUAUUCAAAUAAUAGCUUUCAUCUUCACUCUUUUUAAAUAUAAAAGUAAACCUUGAAGCCCUUUGAAGGACCUAACCAAACAACAUACCUAUGAAAAUAGAUCAGUAAGGCUUUGAGAAACAUUCUUAAGUAAAAUCUGUAAAGCAUCUUUGCAUUUUUUUUUCAAGAAAGACCUCCAGGUAAAUGAUGGCUUUUAAUAAGACACAUGACAAUCUCAAUUACAAGAAUCAUUAGUGUGUGUCCUGUGCGCCAUUUUAUGUUCCCAGCAGGAUAUAUCUUUUCUCGUCUAGGGUUUCCAGGGCUGUCUACUGUUCUCUAUGUGUAAAACGUAUUUAAGUGUUCCCCCAAUGCUGCACUAAUGUUGAAACAAAACAGAACAAAAACGAAGAAACCUUUGUCAAGUGGUCAGACAGACUGGAACUAGAGGAUUAUAGGUAAGAGAGAUAAAAUGAAGGGUUGAAAGCUAUAAUUUCUAUUUAUGUGGUGGCAACCAAAUCAGCUGUUGGAGUCAGGCAAUUUAAAGAUGUGGCUACUGGAGCUCAGAGUCUGGGAAGAAGACACUUCUGCGUCUGACAGUGAAUCAGGCUCCCAGUUUUGAAGAUGUGCUGUAGGUAGUUCUCGCUGAAUCCAUUUCCCAGUUGGUUUCUAUUCCCUGCCCCAUUCCUGUGUCCCCACACUUUCCACUUGAUUUUACCUCUUUGACAAUUCUAUAUUUUACUUUCCUUCCUCUCAUUCCUCUUUUCCCACCCCCUUUUUUUACUGUAGUUCUUGGCCUCUGACUACUGUUCCAUGCUGGAUGUCCCCAGAAAAUAGAGUAUGUUUAGAAAGGAGACAGUGCAUCUCAGAAGGGCCUCCCCAGUCCACUAGUCCAUUUUUUAAUGUGUUGUGCUGUAUGGGUGUCAGGAAUAUUUGUAGAUGAAGUAAUUUGAGGCAUGAAUUUUGAUAGAAGCAGGAUCACCAACAAAAUGAUAAAUGUAGGUACCUGUCUACCUUGCAUAAUAUUCACUAUGAUCUUGAGAAUUUCAAUGUAUAAUUUGUCUUUAUUCUUAUUUUUCAUUAGAAUUAACAGAAUCUCAGAGCUGGUAGAAAGUAUAGAAACUGUAUAUACAACUCUCAUAUUCAGAUGAAGAAAAUGAUGCACAAAAAAUCAACUGUCCUAAGCCAUUCAGCUUGUCUAUAAGUGCUGUUGGCUUAAUUAUAGUUUUGCAUAUAUUUAGGCAAAGAAAACACUUUCUCAGAAACUGGUUAGGACUGUUUGAGAAGAAAUAUAAUCAUCAAAAUAUAUACACAGUAAAAUGUAACCGUCCAUCAUUCAACAUAGGCAAGAAUAUAUAUUGAAUUGCCUGAGUGUAUUAUUCGUAUAGCAAAACUUACUUGAAUUUCUAAUAAAUCUUCUGACCUCUGUAUAUGUAUAAAAUAUAUAAACCAACCAAAUUCUGUACAUAAAUAUAUUUUUGGAUACCAGUACAAUCCCUAUUUCACUUUUGUGUAUUCCAGUUAUUUAUUACUCACAGUUCUGUAGUUUUAACCAGAACAAAGGGAUUACCCAGAAGAAAAGAAGGUAAGCUAUUUCAUCAGUUUUGGUGGAAAUCAGAAGUUUUUUUUUCUAUUAUUAGCUUUGUAUUCUUAAAAAAGAAAAAAGAAGGAGAAAAAAAAA
RNAcentral lists this long non-coding RNA (2310 nucleotides) under Pan troglodytes (chimpanzee). RNAcentral describes it as "lincRNA". Lineage: Eukaryota; Metazoa; Chordata; Mammalia; Primates; Hominidae. The record is from RNAcentral.